RNAcentral lists this ribosomal RNA (444 nucleotides) under Physarum stellatum. Its description in RNAcentral is "SSU rRNA". It matches the Rfam family "Eukaryotic small subunit ribosomal RNA", at positions 76 to 405 of the family's 1831-position model. Lineage: Eukaryota; Evosea; Eumycetozoa; Physariida; Physaraceae. The record is from RNAcentral.
UCUCUCUGAAUCUGCGAACGGCUCCGCAUACCAGUUGUAAACCAUAGCAAGCACCCCAGGACUGGGGUCGCCUCCUUUUUCCGGGGAGGGGAUCUUGGACCCUGGGUUUACAUGGAUAUCCAUGGUAAUCCUGAGGCUAAUACAAGAACGUUACCACCUGACUGACCAGGUCCGGGAAAUCCCGCUGGGAUGUCGGGGAUUGUGUGAUAGAAUUGCACCACCUUAUGGCGGUGACUCGGUGCACAGUCAGACCACUAUACCAAACGAUCUCGGUACUUCGCGAGGGCCCCCGGGUGACUUGGGGUGAGUGCGCGGUCCUUGAUUCGGGUGGCUCUUGCUUCGUGCUUCUGACCUAUCAACUAGAUUGCAGCGUAAGGGACAUGCUAUGGUUACAACGGGUACAGAGGAUAAGGGUUCGAUCCUGGAGAGUGGGCCUGAGAGAUU